GAAGAAGUAGCAACUUGAGCGGAAAGGCUGAACUGGGUCCCGAGCGGAAAACACCAGAAGUUGAUCAGUGCGCUACUCCUAGAAGUUGGCUGUGCAAUUUCCUGAGUUCCUUUCAGCAGAAGCAGCCUGUUUUUACCUUGGUGGCUUCCCAGGUGGCACUGGGAUGUGAUGUCAGCUCGCCAGAUCACGGGAAGGAGCCAUGUGUUGUGGGUACCAGAGGAGCAGGAUGAGAAGAGACUGUGUUCCCGGGACAAUGUACCCAUCACCCAACCCCAGAGAGCUUCCACUGGCACUGGGGAGACACCUAGACUGCUGCUAUCUUCAGGAGCCAGAACUCAUUGAAGAGAUGGAUGGUUCUGGGCGAGACACAGCAGUGGAGACAAGAGCAUCCUAUGGCAGAAGAAAAGCAUCCAAGAAUCGAUGAAAACUUGUCAAAAGGACUUGUCAAAGGGGUCCACACUGCCUAAAUUGGGGCAAUUUGAAUAUAACAAUAAAUA
Long non-coding RNA from Apodemus sylvaticus (European woodmouse), 497 nucleotides. RefSeq lists it as uncharacterized. The record is from RefSeq and is a predicted model, not a curated record. Lineage: Eukaryota; Metazoa; Chordata; Mammalia; Rodentia; Muridae. The transcript is spliced from 3 exons.